GAAAUUUGUCCUUCUAAGAACAAACUUGAAGCCAUUAUGAAUUUAGAGGUUGUUUUGGUUUGCUUACAGUUGGCAUUUUGUAGAGAUGCAUCCAUUCUUUGAGUUUAGACCAGUUAAGUUAUGCUUGAUAAGAUGAAAAGAAAGGGUGCGGCCUCUUGCCUACCUGCUGCAACCUCUGUUUUGUUUCUUGCUUAUUUUAGA
This 201-nucleotide unclassified non-coding RNA is filed under the name Hevea brasiliensis (rubber tree). The record is from RNAcentral. Lineage: Eukaryota; Viridiplantae; Streptophyta; Magnoliopsida; Malpighiales; Euphorbiaceae.